UUACACUAUAUAUAUAUAUAUAUAUAUAUAUAUAUAUAAAUUAAAUUUAUACUAUAAAUGAAAUAUAGUUAAAUGUGUUUAAUCAGAAAUGUCUCUAUUUCCCUUUGCAGUGUGACCGGCCCGUUUUACCUGAUCACUGCUAUCUCAAAAAAUGUGGCGCCGCUAAUGUUUCAAAACCUGUAGGGCCUGAACACUUAUAUUUUAUUAGAACAAUUCAACACAAAAAUAUUAAAAACAGUCCUUAUUAAUCAUAAGAACACGGUUAAAUGUCAUACAUGUUUUUUUUGUUUUUUUUUGUGUCCCAAGCGAUUAAUCAAAAAGUGUCUCAAUUUGCCUGAUAUCAUCAACAAUUUUCAUCACCCCUCUUAUUUUGUUUAAAUUAUUAUUUCAUUCAUAGACUAAAUAUGCUGUAACUGACUUCAUAGCCUGCCCAUAAACAAACAGUGAUCAGCUCUGAGGACAUCUUUUAGCAUCUGAGGUGUCUGUGAAGGUGUUGCAGUUACUUUCCCAGAAUCAAACUGGGACUAGGAGCCGGCAGAGACUGACACAGACAACUUAUACAGUUACCGACCACACCAGAACAAUGACCUUAACCGUGUGGGGGACAGUUCUGUGCUAAUAGUUGUAACAGAUGAAGAUGCUGCAGGGAUUGGAGAGGUCACUGAGAAACAGAAGAGCUUGUACUGGCAUCACAGAGUCCUGACCCCUUCCCAGUUACAGACCAUCAAGCAAGGGUUCUGUUGUGUUAUUUGUAUGAGUAGGUAUCCCAAUAGAUGGGAAUUGGCACACACUACACAAAAUGGGUCUAAAAUUAUUUUACAUGUGGGACAGAGUUUGAGAUUUCCGAAUACACAAGCAGUAUGUUAUUACAUUCUCUAACCAAAGUCAGCUGUGUCUCAUCCACUACAAUUAAUUACAUGUACUGAUGUAACCCUUUGUGUAACGGUCAGGAACUCUCCGUCACACACUGUAAGAAAAGAUACAACAUAUCUACUCAAUAAAAAUGAGGCAACAGAUUACA
Molecule: long non-coding RNA, 1021 nt
Organism: Cyprinus carpio (common carp)
Lineage: Eukaryota; Metazoa; Chordata; Actinopteri; Cypriniformes; Cyprinidae
Source: Ensembl